RNAcentral lists this ribosomal RNA (492 nucleotides) under uncultured bacterium. Its description in RNAcentral is "partial 16S ribosomal RNA". It matches the Rfam family "Bacterial small subunit ribosomal RNA", at positions 29 to 507 of the family's 1533-position model. The record is from RNAcentral.
AGUGAACGCUGGCGGUAGGCCUAACACAUGCAAGUCGAACGGCAGCACAGUAAGAGCUUGCUCUUACGGGUGGCGAGUGGCGGACGGGUGAGGAAUACAUCUGAAUCUACUUUUUCGUGGGGGAUAACGUAGGGAAACUUACGCUAAUACCGCAUACGACCUACGGGUGAAAGCAGGGGAUCUUCGGACCUUGCGCGAUUGAAUGAGCCGAUGUCGGAUUAGCUAGUUGGCGGGGUAAAGGCCCACCAAGGCGACGAUCCGUAGCUGGUCUGAGAGGAUGAUCAGCCACACUGGAACUGAGACACGGUCCAGACUCCUACGGGAGGCAGCAGUGGGGAAUAUUGGACAAUGGGCGCAAGCCUGAUCCAGCCAUACCGCGUGGGUGAAGAAGGACUUCGGGUUGUAAAGCCCUUUUGUUGGGAAAGAAAAGCAGCAGGUUAAUACCCCGAUGUUCUGACGGUACCCAAAGAAUAAGCACCGGCUAACUUCGUG